AUAACGUAAUAGUAGUAAUUUUAUUUUAAUUUCGGAAGCGGGUCUGAAGUACAGUUGUAAUUGGAGUAGAGCGUAGAAGGAACUACAAAGUAUCCUUUCUUUGUUGUGUGUUUGGAGCUAAGCAGCAUGGAGAGCACAGACGAUAUAUCAUAUGUUAACCAGCAAGAAGCCAUAGAAAUUGAUCAGAUGUUGAUGGGUCCUCUUGGUUUUACUGUUGAUCAGCUCAUGGAAUUGGCAGGCUUGAGUGUUGCCUCUGCAAUUGGAGAGGUCUAUAGUUCAAGUGAAUAUACUCGCGUGCUUGUUAUAUGUGGUCCUGGUAACAAUGGUGGGAAUGGUCUUGUAGCUGCUCGACACUUACAUCACUUUGGUUAUAAGCCCUCCAUUUGUUAUCCAAAACGGAAUACCGAACCUCCCUUUGCUGGUUUAGUUACCCAGCUUGAGUCACUGUCAGUUCCAUUCUUGCCAGUGGAAGAUCUACCCGUGCAGCUUUCAAGUGACUUUGAAAUUAUAGUGGAUGCAAUUUUUGGAUUCUCAUUUCAUGGUAACCCAAGGCCACCGUUUGAUAGUCUCAUUAGAAGGCUGGUCUCCAUAAAAAACCAGCAGCGCACACAUGAAAAAGCAGCUGUGAUUAUAUCUGUAGACGUACCUUCCGGGUGGCACGUGGUAGAGGGAGACAUUUGUGGUGAAGGCAUUGAACCUGAUAUGCUGGUCUCUUUGACUGCUCCAAAAUUGUGUGCCAAAAUGUUUUGUGGCCUGCAUCAUUUUUUGGGUGGAAGAUUUGUUCCACGAUCUAUCAUAGACAAAUUCAAGUUAAAACUUCCACCAUAUCCCGGCACUUCCAUGUGUGUUCGAAUUGGAAAUUUUCCAGAAACCAAUUCAUCAGCACAGAAAGGGAUAUUUACAGCUUCUGUAAAUCUUGAGGUGGAGGAAAAUCCUAUUGAUCAGUUUCACAAGUGGCUUGGUGAUGCAUCGGAAGCUGGUGUCAAAGAACCCCAUUAUAUGGUCCUAUCAACAGCUGGUAAAGAUGCA
Molecule: unclassified non-coding RNA, 1029 nt
Filed under: Hevea brasiliensis (rubber tree)
Lineage: Eukaryota; Viridiplantae; Streptophyta; Magnoliopsida; Malpighiales; Euphorbiaceae
Source: RNAcentral